This 393-nucleotide ribosomal RNA is filed under the name uncultured bacterium. RNAcentral's name for it is "bacterial SSU rRNA". It matches the Rfam family "Bacterial small subunit ribosomal RNA", at positions 28 to 421 of the family's 1533-position model. The record is from RNAcentral.
GACGAACGCUGGCGGCGUGCUUAACACAUGCAAGUCGAGCGGUAAGGCCCUUUCGGGGGUACGACGAGCGGCGAACGGGUGAGUAACACGUGGGUGACCUGCCCUCAGCUCUGGGAUAAGCCUGGGAAACCGGGGUCUAAUACCGGAUAUGACUCCAUGACGCAUGUUGUGGGGUGGAAAGCCUUGUGCGGCUGAGGAUGGGCCCGCGGCCUAUCAGCUUGUUGGUGGGGUGAUGGCCUACCAAGGCGACGACGGGUAGCCGGCCUGAGGGGCGACCGGCCACACUGGGACUGAGACACGGCCCAGACUCCUACGGGAGGCAGCAGUGGGGAAUCUUGCGCAAUGGGCGAAAGCCUGACGCAGCGACGCCGCGUGAGGGAUGACGGCCUGUGU